GGUGAACGCUGGCGGCGUGCCUAAUACAUGCAAGUCGAGCGAACAGACGAGGAGCUUGCUCCUCUGACGUUAGCGGCGGACGGGUGAGUAACACGUGGAUAACCUACCUAUAAGACUGGGAUAACUUCGGGAAACCGGAGCUAAUACCGGAUAAUAUAUUGAACCGCAUGGUUCAAUAGUGAAAGACGGUUUUGCUGUCACUUAUAGAUGGAUCCGCGCCGCAUUAGCUAGUUGGUAAGGUAACGGCUUACCAAGGCAACGAUGCGUAGCCGACCUGAGAGGGUGAUCGGCCACACUGGAACUGAGACACGGUCCAGACUCCUACGGGAGGCAGCAGUAGGGAAUCUUCCGCAAAGGGCGAAAGCCUGACGGAGCAACGCCGCGUGAGUGAUGAAGGUCUUCGGAUCGUAAAACUCUGUUAUUAGGGAAGAACAAAUGUGUAAGUAACUAUGCACGUCUUGACGGUACCUAAUCAGAAAGCCACGGCUAACUACGUG
Molecule: ribosomal RNA, 497 nt
Filed under: uncultured bacterium
Lineage: Bacteria
Description: partial 16S ribosomal RNA
Rfam family: Bacterial small subunit ribosomal RNA
Source: RNAcentral